AGCAGCCGCGGUAAUUCCAGCUCCAAUAGCGUAUAUUAAAGUUGUUGCAGUUAAAAAGCUCGUAGUUGAAUUUCGGGAUUGGCGCAUCGGUCGUGCCUCACGGGGUAUGAACUGGUGCAGUCAAUUUCUCACCUUCUGGAGAACCGCGAUGUCCUUAAUUGGGUGCCGCGGGGAACCAGGACCUUUACUUUGAAAAAUUAGAGUGUUUAAAGCAGGCAUUUUUGCUUGAAUACAUUAGCAUGGAAUAAUAAAAUAGGACGGCAUGGUUCUAUUUUGUUGGUUUCUAGGACCACCGUAAUGAUUAAUAGGGAUAGUUGGGGCAUUAGUAUUCAAUUGUCAGAGGUGAAAUUCUUGGAUUUAUUGAAGACUAACUACUGCGAAAGCAUUUGCCAAGGAUGUUUUCAUUAAUCAAGAACGAAAGUUAGGGGAUCGAAGACGAUCAGAUACCGUCGUAGUCUUAACCAUAAACUAUGCCGACUAGGAAUCAGACGAUGUUAAUUUUUUAAUGUACUUCGUUUUA
This 520-nucleotide ribosomal RNA is filed under the name uncultured Entrophospora. RNAcentral's name for it is "SSU rRNA". It matches the Rfam family "Eukaryotic small subunit ribosomal RNA", at positions 569 to 1083 of the family's 1831-position model. Lineage: Eukaryota; Fungi; Glomeromycota; Glomeromycetes; Entrophosporales; Entrophosporaceae. The record is from RNAcentral.